GAUGAACGCUAGCGGCAGGCCUAAUACAUGCAAGUCGAACGGGAUCCAGAUCAAAGCUUGCUUUGGUUUGGUGGGAGUGGCGCACGGGUGCGUAACGCGUGAGCAACCUACCCUUGUCAGGGGGAUAGCCCGGCGAAAGUCGGAUUAAUACCGCAUGACAUCAUUGAGAGGCAUCUUUCGAUGAUCAAAGAUUUAUCGGACAAGGAUGGGCUCGCGUGACAUUAGCUAGUUGGUAAGGUAACGGCUUACCAAGGCUACGAUGUCUAGGGGCUCUGAGAGGAGAAUCCCCCACACUGGUACUGAGACACGGACCAGACUCCUACGGGAGGCAGCAGUAAGGAAUAUUGGUCAAUGGACGGAAGUCUGAACCAGCCAUGCCGCGUGCAGGAAGACGGCCCUAUGGGUUGUAAACUGCUUUUAUACGGGAACAAACGUCGGUACGUGUACCGGUCUGAGUGUACCGUAAGAAUAAGGAUCGGCUAACUCCGUG
RNAcentral lists this ribosomal RNA (490 nucleotides) under uncultured bacterium. RNAcentral describes it as "partial 16S ribosomal RNA". It matches the Rfam family "Bacterial small subunit ribosomal RNA", at positions 28 to 507 of the family's 1533-position model. The record is from RNAcentral.